UACGAAGGGGGCUAGCGUUGCUCGGAAUCACUGGGCGUAAAGGGCGCGUAGGCGGACAUUUAAGUCAGGGGUGAAAUCCCGGGGCUCAACCUCGGAAUUGCCUUUGAUACUGGGUGUCUCGAGACCGGAAGAGGUAAGUGGAACUGCGAGUGUAGAGGUGAAAUUCGUAGAUAUUCGCAAGAACACCAGUGGCGAAGGCGGCUUACUGGUCCGGUUCUGACGCUGAGGCGCGAAAGCGUGGGGAGCAAACAGG
RNAcentral lists this ribosomal RNA (253 nucleotides) under uncultured bacterium. RNAcentral describes it as "partial 16S ribosomal RNA". It matches the Rfam family "Bacterial small subunit ribosomal RNA", at positions 524 to 776 of the family's 1533-position model. The record is from RNAcentral.